GCCGGGCAUGGUGGUGCGUGCCUGUAGUCCUAGCUACUCGGGAGGCUGAGGCAGGAGAAUCGCUUGAACCCAGGAGGUACAGGUUGUGGUGACCCAAGAUCCCACCACUACACUCCAGCCUGGGCAACAGAGCGAGACUCUGUCUCAA
Pongo abelii (Sumatran orangutan) is the source of this 148-nucleotide unclassified non-coding RNA. It matches the Rfam family "Metazoan signal recognition particle RNA". From Rfam's summary of the family: The signal recognition particle (SRP) is a universally conserved ribonucleoprotein. It is involved in the co-translational targeting of proteins to membranes. Lineage: Eukaryota; Metazoa; Chordata; Mammalia; Primates; Hominidae. The record is from Ensembl.